AUCGGUAAAUGAGGGGCCAGUGGCUGGCAGCCUGAUGUCACUUCCAGGAAGUGGCAAUUAACAUCAUUUUCUGCUCCAUCCCUCUCCCAUAGAUGGACAUCAGAGGUCCAUCAUACUCCUAGGGCCUGGGGAGAUCUCAUGUUUCAGAAUUCCCUGGUUUCUGAAGCCUUUGAGGAGAGGGAAUUGUGUGCAUAAGACUCAGCUUUCUUUUUCCCUGAUGUAACUUUCAUUUUUUUUUUCUGUCUUUCACCAACAGAUUCUACCACCUGUAGUUCAGCCAAGUCCAAGGGUUCGUGGGCCCCCAAGAAGGAGCCUUACGCCCGGGAGAUGCUGGCGAUCUCCUUUAUCUCGGCCGUCAACCGCAAGCGCAAGAAGCGGCGGGAGGCGCGAGGGCUGGGCAGCAGCACCGACGACGACUCGGAGCAGGAGGCGCACAAGCCUGGGGCGGGGGCCACAGCGCCGG
RNAcentral lists this small RNA (463 nucleotides) under Pongo abelii (Sumatran orangutan). RNAcentral describes it as "retained intron". Lineage: Eukaryota; Metazoa; Chordata; Mammalia; Primates; Hominidae. The record is from RNAcentral.